CAUGAUCGCGAGCGCUCGCGCGCCCUUCGAUCUCUCUCCGAUACGCUGCGGAAUUUAAAGCGACGUACGGAGCUCGACCGCGCGCGAGAAUGUCUCGUUGCUCGACGGAUGAAAAUACCGUUCGCCGAUCGUCACGCUUGACCACCAAGUUCGCGUCGCAAUUAACAAAACAUAUGCGCGGCGAAAUGAGUUCACACGUGAAUUACUAUUAUUACAAAGUUCACAGAGACUGGUUUUUCACAAAGGGGUGACGUCGCGGUGACGUUGAGGAAGAAUGUACGACUAGAAUGGACCUCGCAGUUGAGAUCCUUAUGGACGAUCGUGGAAUCUCGAUCUCUGACUAGCUGAACACAGACUGUUGACCGUUAUGCUCGCGUAAUAUUCGAUGUGGUGCGCGGAAUGUAGUAUAGUGGUGGCUUCGCUCUUCGAUCGAAGCAUUGUUUCGAUCAAUCUCGCCCGUUAAUCUCUUUCCCAAAGCGACGACGGCUUCUCAUUGUGCGCAUUUCACGUUUCAGCGGGCGAGGCCUCCCCGAUCGACGGGGCCUUACGUAAUCGAAAAUGGGGAAAUCGCUGCGUGAAGGAACGAUAGCAAUUGCCUCCGCGUGCGUUUGCGGAAUCCCAUGGUUUCUCCCUUUUGUUUAUUAUGACGCGUGUGAAUGAUAUCGGCCGUUGUCGGCCGCGAUUACUUUCCGGAUCGACCAAUUAAUCUUCGCGCGCUCCAUGAAUGUUACGUCAGUAACAAACCGACAUAAAGAACGUCGAAUUUCUUCGUUAACUAUCGAGAAGCAGUCCGUGGACCCGCCGCGGCGUGCUCGUCGAUGGACCAGACUUCACUCCGAUCGACCCGGCGCUUGACCGAUCAUCAUCCUUUGCGCAACGGUAUCGUGGAGAAUCGUUGCGUAAGCGCGUGCCACGGCCUUGCACUCGCGAACAAAGUCCUUGGCGCCGAACGCAAACGGCAGCUUGCGAUCAGGAAGAGGAUUCCCUGUCAAUUUCCUCACCGCACUUUUAUUCCGAGAAUUCUUCUAAUCCUUGCAAUUUUUUUUUUUCUUUUUUAGAAUCAAUGGAAUUUAGCGUCGCUGUUUCUCUGACGUUUCUCGCCCAGUCGCUCUCACGUUUCCGUGGCAUGAGAAUCUCGCAUCAACGAUCUCGACCAUUUCGUUACGACGAGUCUGAAAUACCUCUUCGUCGAUCGUCAACAUCGCUUCACGGAAAUUCGUUUGCUGCUCGUGUGAAGUAGCCUCCUUUCAACCCCCGAUUGUAAGAACCACCCCGUGGCGAGGUGACGCCUGGUGGCGGAAUAAGGAACGAUGGAAUGAACGAGUGGAGAAAAGGAUAAAUGAAGUCAUGUACAAUAAUAUGCACUGAAUGUACAGAUCGCCUUUCCAGAUAUUGACACAAGUCGACGGGGGUGAGCACAGAGCGGAGCAGCUAGGACCGUACUUUUAAGCACGAGAGUGGGGGUUCUGGAUCAAUGCCGAGGCCACGCCUCCUUCGUCUUACAUCUUGCACCCCGUGCUUCCCCCCAAGCACCGUGAGUACCUUCCUUUCCUUUUGCUUUUCCGUCCUCUUCCCUAUCUUCAUACCCCGCGGAAAAUCCGCCCCAGGCGUACAGAUAUAUUUGGGGAUUAAAAACUAUACGAUGUGUAUAAACUUUGUGUUCAUAAUACGCAUUGAUAUAGCAUGAUAGAAAAGAACAUGUAUAUUAGUGGCUCCUAAUUCAUAUUUAAA
Long non-coding RNA from Linepithema humile (Argentine ant), 1731 nucleotides. RefSeq lists it as uncharacterized. NCBI's taxonomy places the organism in Eukaryota, Metazoa, Arthropoda, Insecta, Hymenoptera, Formicidae. The record is from RefSeq and is a predicted model, not a curated record.